Molecule: long non-coding RNA, 1810 nt
Filed under: Theobroma cacao (cacao)
Lineage: Eukaryota; Viridiplantae; Streptophyta; Magnoliopsida; Malvales; Malvaceae
Description: long non-coding RNA (TCAC_LNC005450)
Source: RNAcentral
GGAAAUAGAGAGGAAAGAAAGAAAAAAAAGAAAAACCAAAGAGAAACAAGAAAAUUCAAAGGGAAAUUCGCGAUUUUCGACCGUUUACGCGUCUAACGGUAAGAUUUUUCGAUUUUAGCUUGAUUUCUACCUUUCCUAUGCCUUUAUUUCCAUUUAGCAUGCUUGAGGAGAGAGAUCAAAAAGUGAUAUCAAGGGCUGGACGAAAUUCUAGGGGAGAGAAAUUGAAAUUUUUAGGUUUUGAUUUUUAGUUAAAUUGAUAGUUUUAGUUAGUUAAAUGUGUUUAGAAAUUAAAUUGGGCAAGAAAUCAUUAAAUUUUCACAAUACCCACUCUUGGCUGGAUGCUCAAUGCUGUACAAUGAUGAUGAAUUGAUUUUAUUCUAAGGGAAAUGAAGAGAAAAUGAUGAAAAACGAUUAAACGUGAUAGAAAAACAAAGUAGAAAAUUAACCGAGUUAAUGUCCCAUUUUUGGCCGAAUUUUCCAAGGAAGGGAGUGAGCUGAUUUUGUUGUUUUUAGAAGGUUAUUGGCUGAUAUUUAAUGGUUAGAAAUGUUGGAGAGAGAAUGGGAUGAUUUAGAGCUAAAAUGGAGCGCGUUAGCAAUUUAUCGGGCAAAGUGCCAAAAAUAGGUUAAUACCGCGUUUAAGCCGUUUUAGGCUAUUGCAUUUCAUACCAUGCAUUAGUAUAGGAUUUAAGUUAAUUAUAUAGUGAUUUAGCAUCAAUGUGAUGAAUUGUGUAAAUUUUUGUAAUGUGUCUAGGAGGAGAGCCUUCCGGAAAAGGCAAAGAAGUCGUACCCGACGAGUAGUGAUCGGGGCGCUUAGAAAGCUUUUAGUUUGUACAAACGGUGAGUAAACUUAUUAUUAUUGUAAAUUAUCUAGAGUUUAUUUUAAAUGCCCUUUAUGUAUUUUAUGAAAUGAGAACGAGAUUAAAACGGGAUUUUUGAUGUUUUAGGAAUAAAUGUGACAAAUAAAAAUAUAUUGUAUUGAUUAUGAAAUUGAGUAAUUGGAGGCUGCAAAUUGACUUGAAAAAUAUAUAUUUUCCUAGGAAUGGCUUAUGAGAAAUGAGUAUAUGUGGCUAUAUUUUGUGAGUGCAUUUGGGAAAUUUAUGUAAGUUGGUUUUACUAUGCAGGCUGGAUAAAUAAAUAAAAGCCACGUUAUACUGUCGAAAUUUUAUUAAAAUUGGUGGGUUAGUCACUGCAGUGACGGGUUUCCGUGGACUGCCUAUUAGAGGGGCACGGUAAACCCAGUUAUAUAGUUACUCCGGUUGUAGAGGCGAGGAGGGUAACUCCCGGGGUAGUAUUAGAGCUCACUUCACGUCGAACCCCCACGUGAAUGUGUAACUCGGCCAACGCCAAGGAACGGCUGGUUUUAAAAAUAAAAAUGUGUUUCACGUGUGAAUAUUUUAACACCCUUGGCGGACUCGGUUAGAUGCCUCGGCCAAGGUAUCCCCGAGGAUUAGUUUUGGCUUGAGCCUUGUUUUAAUAAAAGACAUAAGCCUUAACAACUGUUUUGGUAAAUUACAAAUAUUUUAUGGUUUAAGAAAUAAAUUGAAAACAUUAUGAAAUGGGUUGAAAUUUGUUGUUUAAACUUGCCUCCAUUUUACUCGCCUUUAGAUAUUUAUGAUAAUGUCUGUUUACUCAUUGGGAUUGCAAAAUCUCACCCAACUCCUUUCCACCCAUUUCAGGUUCAGUAUAGACUGUAGAUAGCUGAUCUCAUCGAGGACUACCAUUGGAUCUGCAUUUUCCAAACCGUAGGUUCACAGUCCUCUUUACUUUUGUUUAUUCGGGGGCCCUCUUGUUAUUGUAAAUUAAAUUAAAU